UGGGGAAUAUUGGGCAAUGGGCGAAAGCCUGACCCAGCAACGCCGCGUGAGGGAAGAAGGUUUUCGGAUCGUAAACCUCUGUCCUUGGUGAAGAGGAAGAGACGGUAGCCAAGGAGGAAGCCCCGGCUAACUACGUGCCAGCAGCCGCGGUAAUACGUAGGGGGCGAGCGUUAUCCGGAAUUAUUGGGCGUAAAGAGUACGUAGGUGGUCCGUUAAGCGAGUGGUGAAAGCCCGGGGCUCAACUCCGGCGAGCCAUUCGAACUGGCGGACUUGAGUGCAGGAGGGGAAAGUGGAAUUCCUGGUGUAGCGGUGAAAUGCGUAGAUAUCAGGAGGAACACCGGUGGCGAAGGCGACUUUCUGGACUGUAACUGACACUGAGGUACGAAAGCGUGGGGAGCAAACAGGAUUAGAUACCCUGGUA
Molecule: ribosomal RNA, 421 nt
Filed under: uncultured bacterium
Lineage: Bacteria
Description: bacterial SSU rRNA
Rfam family: Bacterial small subunit ribosomal RNA
Source: RNAcentral